RNAcentral lists this ribosomal RNA (411 nucleotides) under uncultured soil bacterium. RNAcentral's name for it is "bacterial SSU rRNA". It matches the Rfam family "Bacterial small subunit ribosomal RNA", at positions 26 to 449 of the family's 1533-position model. The record is from RNAcentral.
AGAACGAACGCUGGCGGCAUGCCUAAUACAUGCAAGUCGAACGAACACUCUGACUUCGGUUGGGGUGUUAGUGGCGCACGGGUGCGUAACGCGUGGGAAUCUGCCCUUGGGUUCGGAAUAACAGUUGGAAACGACUGCUAAUACCGGAUGAUAUCGAAAGAUCAAAGAUUUAUCGCCCAGGGAUGAGCCCGCGUAGGAUUAGCUAGUUGGUGGGGUAAAGGCUCACCAAGGCGACGAUCCUUAGCUGGUCUGAGAGGAUGAUCAGCCACACUGGGACUGAGACACGGCCCAGACUCCUACGGGAGCAGCAGUAGGGAAUAGUGGACAAGUGGGCGCAAGCCUAGACUCCAGCAAUCGCCGCGUGAGUGAUGAAGGUCCGUUAGGGUUAGUAAGCUUACGUUUACCGAGUAU